This is an RNA transcript of Epinephelus moara (kelp grouper), 7936 nucleotides long. It is a transcript of the gene named Rho guanine nucleotide exchange factor (GEF) 11, with no coding region annotated. The record is from RefSeq and is a predicted model, not a curated record. Lineage: Eukaryota; Metazoa; Chordata; Actinopteri; Perciformes; Serranidae. The transcript is spliced from 42 exons.
GCUGCACCCUGUUUGCACGUAUGAUCUUUGAGGACAUGGUGGUGGAUCAGCAGCCAGUCAAGGCAGCAGGAUAACAACACAGCAGAGAUCUUUAUUUCAAGAACUGGGAUCUUUUUUUUGAAGGCAAUACAUAUCUGCAACGACAACUUCUGAGUUUUCAGGCAUACCACGAGAGAGAGAUCCGGAUUUUACCACUGUGACUUGUUUUGGAGAAGAAGAAAAAAGACCUGAGGUGGAGCUGCACUGGAAUCGCAUUGCCUUCUAACGUUAGCCAGCUGGCUAACAUGCAGCUUUAGUGUUUGAAUUUGCACGAAAACAAGACUCUGGGAUAUAUCGAGCAGGAAUUUGCGUGGACUGCCACUAUCUCGACCACUUUAACAUCCAACUACUCGCAUGCAGUUAAAGUCAUGCUGGCGUUUCACCCUACAGACAUAGCCGGUUAGCUAGCUACCCCCAAAGGACCGACUCGUUUGCGCAGCUGCAAGCCGAACCCACGGCGCUUUUGGUCGGCUUGACGACCAACGCCAUGCCGCGGGUUGAAACCGGCCCAUCCCUAGAGCUAACUUCAGGAAGCUAACGCUAGCUGGAUACAGCAGGCCGCUUCAGAUGGUCGUUAUCAUUCCCAAGUCGGCUAAUUAGAUAAGUCAAAACUCAGACUCUUGAAGCACCUUUAUCUUUCAUUCUGCACGGUGCUUUCAUUUUUUUAUACGCCCAGCAGCACACGUAGCUAAUGCCGGGUAAUCUGCUAAUUAGCUAGCUAGUUCGUUAGCGAGUAAUGUAAAGCCAACGGUAGCUUAUCGGUUAGUUGUUGUUUACAGUGUGCUAGCAUGCAAAUUACAAGUUACAGUUAGCUUGGAAGCUAAGUUGGAGUGGUGCGGUAGUUAACUUUUUCCCCACUUAUUAAACUAAGGUACGUUUGUUGUGUGUGUGGAGUAAUUUGCAUUAACUAGCCACAUACACGUCAGUACAGCUAAUGUCAAAUUCACUGUGGGCAUUCAUGUUUGAUUUUAGCAUUAUCCAGGCUAACAUGACUGAGAGAUGCGCGACAUUAAAGGUUAGCUUGGAUGGGAUUAUUUAGGUUGGCACAGCCACACAUGUGAACAAGUCUGACUGCGUGCACGGUUCUGGUUAGUUAUUUCAUUGCAAGGUGUCACUACGUGUCAAUCAAGAGUAUGUGCUGUUAUCUGGACGUCAGUUGUGCGUUUUAAAGCUGUUACUUUGAACAUAUGUGCCACCAAUUAUCUUCACACAGACACUAAAAGGCAUGGGAGUCUGUGACCUCCUGGAGCAUAGCGAGACAUAUCAGCCAUUCAUUCAUGAUUGAUGACCUUUGAGGAAGCAGACUGUCCUUUAUCCAUUUUCCACUACCGCUGCUGAACACUGCACCAAGCCACUAAUAGCCUGUCUUGUAGUAUUUAUUUUUAACCACUAAUGUAGCAGCGAGGAGGGAUUUUUUUUUAGUGUUAGUUUUAGCAGUUUAAGGUCCCACUGGCGUGGAUGGGAACAUGAGGAGCUCCCUGUCUGAUCUGAACCAGCUUCCCAGUAGCUUGAAGGUCUGAUCAAAGCACAACAGAGAGCCUCAUUGUGUGGACUGAGAGCUGAAGAGGAAAGAGACGAUGAUGGGGAUGAUGAUAAAAGAGGCCCAGUGACAGCGUUGAUCUCCCCGCACCAGGAAGCAGAGGAGUGUCACAGAGGCAGCAGACAUGAGUCUCCGCCAACCCACCUCAACGCUGGACAGGCUCAGCAGUCUGACCAUCGGGGACUCGGAGCGCAAAUCCUCUGCUACCCAGCAGAGGGAGCCAAUAGUCGACUUCCCUGCUGAGAGUACGGGCACUGGUCUUGUCCAGAGAUGUGUGGUCGUGCAGAAGGACCAGCUCGGCUUUGGCUUCACAGUAUGUGGAGAGAGAGUCAAGCUAGUGCAGAAUGUCCGACCAGGUGGUGCAGCAGUCAAGGCCGGGGUCCAAGAAGGGGACCGAAUCAUAAAGGUGAACGGCUCGCUGGUGUCCUCCAUGUCCCAUCAGGAGGUGGUAAAGCUUAUCAAAUCUGGAACAUAUGUAGCUCUGACACUACAAGGGCCACCUCCUUCUGCCGCCUCCCUGCCCCUAGAGCCCCUCCCCACUGACCUCACACCCAAUCAAAGAACAUCACUGGGUGGGGAGGCCCCACCCCCUCCACCUCCACCGCUGCCCUCUGGACUGAGCAGCACCCCAUCCCAAAGAAUCACUGGACCCAAACCACUACAGGACCCAGAAGUGCAGAAACAUGCCACUCAGAUACUCAGGAAAAUGCUGGAGCAGGAAGAGGCGGAACUGCAGGAGUUGAUGGAGGAGCAGUUGAGGAACCCGUCGUCGUCACUGGGGGAACGGAUAGAAAGUGCCAAGAGGAGAGCUCACCAAGUCAGGGUCAAGAUUCAGCAAGAUCUGGAGGGAACACGAUCAGAAUGUGCCACGAGCUACGUCAUAGCAGGAGAAGGUCGACUAUCAAUGGAUUCAAGCGAGGGAGACAAUGAGGCCUUUGAGAGUCCCCACUCCUCCCCCUUAUCCUCCUUCAGGACACCACACCACCGACGGCAGAACUCCGACACACACACCCUGUCUGAUUCGGGCGGAAAGGCCCAGAUCAUCGGCCCCGAGGAAGAAGAUGAAGAAGAUGACGGCUAUGCAUUUAAUGAGAUGGACGGUCCAUUUCAGGACAUUGAGUUGUUGAAGACCCGACCGGCACACAUGGCGGUUUUCAUGAGAUAUGUCUUCACCCAGCUUCUGGACCCCAACCCUCUGCUGUUUUACCUGUCAGUGGAGGCCUACCUGGGCUCCAGCCCUAAAGACGCCCGCGCACUUGCACCUCAGAUCUGCUCCCAUUACCUGGACCCAGAUGCUCCCCUGAAAAUCAAAGUACGAGAGGAGUAUCUCACAGAUAUAGAAAGUCGACUUCACGCCCAGGAGGACAUCAGAGGACCUCUGUCUGAGCUGCAGCAGCAAGUGUUGCCAGACAUCCAAUACCAGAUACAGGACUACAGGAACAAGCAGAUGAUGGGCCUGGGCUCUCUGUUUGGAGAAGGAGACCUACAGCAGCUGGAUGGAGACCCAGUGAAAGAGAGACAGGUGGUGGACAGACAGGUCACCGCCCUCUGGGAAAUACUAUCGAAGCACGAAGAGGACAGAAGUUCUCCUCUGGCGUCAGCUGUGCAUCUAUACCUGCGUCAUUCUGGAAUCAAGCUAAGGGACUCCAAGGUCUUCCCUGGUCUGAGCACAGAGAAGGAGAAGUGGCUCGCUUUCCUAAAGACGAAAAAGCUGAGUGGUACCAAGAAAGAGAAAGAUGGAGAGGAUAAAAAGAGAAAUCCCAUCCUGAAGUACAUCGGCAAACCCCGGACCACAUCCCAGUCCACAUUCCAUGUCCCGUUGUCCCCCACUGAAGUCCGCCCUGGCAGUGUGAGGAACAUCAUUCAGCAGUUUGAGAAUCACACAGAGACAGGAGAGGAGGGAGGGGACGCUGCCGACCCCCAGAGGCUCUCCUCCAGCAGCCUGGGAGAAGACAGCAUGGACAGCCCCACGAUCUCCGUGCGUCUGGCACGCAGCGAGUCGUUGAAGGCUCAGGGAGAAGGCCGCCGCCGGGGCGUCGUCUCAGGGACGGAUUCUGUCCCUCGCUCUCGUAGCGAUGUGGACAUGGAGGACUGUGGGGAGGAGAGGGAGGGGCCAGGCCUCAGGCCGCUGCAACACAGCACGUCAUCAUCUGCAUCCAGCAGCUCUGCACGGUCUCUAGAGAACCCUACACCCCCAUACACCCCUCGGUCUAGACGCAGGAGUGUGGACUCACCGCUGGCCCUGCUGCCCGAUGCUGCGGCGCUGGAGGAAGAGGUGUGCGAUGGUCAGAACUGGCAGGACACCGUUUCCCCGCAGCUCCUCGCCACACUCAGUCCGAGGGAGGUGGACAGACAGGCCGUCAUAUAUGAGCUAUUCACCACUGAGGUGUCCCACCUGCGGACCUUGAGGGUCCUGGACCAGGUAUUUUUCCAGAAGAUGAGGUCUGUGCUGAACUCCGAUGAGCUGGCCUGCAUCUUCCCCAACCUGCCCCAAGUCUAUGAACUCCACGCAAGUCUGUGCGAAGCGAUGAAGAAGCGAAGAGAAACUCCCAUCGUUCAGGACAUCGGGGACGUUAUGCUGGCCAGGUUUGAAGGUGCAGCCGGAGACGAGUUUCAGGAACAUGCGUCGCAGCUGUGCAGCCAGCAGUCUCAGGCCGUGGAGCUGAUUAAGAACAAAAAGCGUAAAGACCCUCGCUUCGCUCACAUUAUCCAGGAGUGCGAAGCGAGUCCUCACUGUCGGAGGCUGCAGCUCAAAGACCUGCUGGUGUCAGAGAUGCAGAGACUUACCAAGUACCCCCUGCUGCUGGACAACAUCAUUAAACACACAGAGGCUGGUUCGUCGGACCUCCCCUCACUUCAGCGCGCCCAGGCUUGUUGCCGAGGGAUACUGCAGGUCGUUAACGAGGUUGUCGGUGAAACAGAACAACGGCAACGCCUCAGCCAAUACCAACGCAGGCUGGACGCUGCCCCUGUGUUCAAGAGUCUGGACCUCACCACCAAGAGAAUGAUUCAUGAAGGUCCUCUUACGUGGAAAGUCAGCAAAGACAAGCAGAUCGAGAUUCAAGCGCUGCUGCUGUCAGACUGCCUGGUCCUUCUACAGAGGGGCCCAGACGACCGGCUACAGCUAAAGUAUCCAUCCCGCUGGCUGGGUGGAGGCAGCGGAGACAGCAAGACCUCCUUCAGCCCUCUUGUGAAGCUGGACUCUCUGCUGGUCCGCUCGGUGGCUACAGACAACAGAGCCCUCUACAUCAUCAGCACCACAGAGAGGCAGAUCUAUGAGCUGGUGGCUGGGACGUCAUCAGAGAAAAACACCUGGAAAGAUUCACUUGAAAAGACCAUCUCAUCGGCUGGCGGUUCGUCACCCCUGAUCAAUCACGGAUCUAUGCCUUUAUCUAGUUCCCCCAGUCUGCGCAGUGCAUCCCCAGUGUCAACUGGCAGCAAUGUCUAUGCAGACAACUCCAUGACGGAGCAGUCAGAUUCCAUGGAGCCUCAUUCCUCCAACGACGACAUAGAGCUCUCAGCAAACACACCUACGGACCAAUCAGGAGCUUUCCUCUGUGGGGAGAGAAAACCAGUUGGUGUGGCAGAGGCCGCUUUACGAGACGUUGAAACACUAAGGCAGCUCAUAUUACGAGAUUUGGAAGAGGACGCUUGGAGCCACGACUCAGACGACACGCCCACCAACGAGACGGCAAACGAAAGGAGCUCGUUCACUGAGAGACAGCGGCCAGAGUCUCUGGAGACCGUCCUCAACUUCAGCACCAACGAAUGGGAGGCAGAGCCUGAAGAGGUCCCGCCCCCAGACGCAGAGCAACCCAGCAUUCAGGUCGUACGGAAAGCUGUGGUUGCGGGUCCUUCUUCUUCUUCCUCUGUCCCUGACGACAUCACUGCUGAUGUCACCCUCCCCUCCGACCAGUCGUCCAAGCCGAGAGGCGAGGCCACUACGCAGGGGAACACUUUCUACUUGGUAAUGCCUACAGAGCAGGGAGAGACCACCACUGAUGACCUCAAUGACCCUCCUACCCCCACCGCCAGCCACUUCCCGCAGCCUCUGGAGGAAGUGAUAUCACCACAGACGCAGCCAGAGGAGGAAACGCCCGCCUGUGGUCCAGAGUCCAGUCAAUCAGAGGCUAUGCAACCGGAACAGUUAGAGGAAACGGGCCAAUCACAGGCUGGGCACCAGAGCCACGUGAUCAAAAAUGUAGAUGAGAUUUUCCUCACGAUUGAGGGGUUAACGAGCAAGUUGCGGCAGCUGAAGGAAAUAGAAAAGUCCCAUCACAAGCUUUUGAAAACCCUCAGAGAGCCUUUUGUCAAUCAGGAGUCAGAGGACCAACAGUGUCACUUGGCAACCGUCUCUAGAACACCGUCUUUGGAUCGUGGCUCAGGAGACGGCAAAGAGGGAAGUCCAGCAGAACCCAAGAUUCAGUCGACUGGAUUCUGACAUCUGGAUUUACUCGCAGUCACUCAAUCUUGAUUGUUGGCUUACGGACGCACAUGUAUGUACCCACAGUCAGACUCGGGCACCUCAGCCCUGCCUCCCGUCGCCCCUCGUCCCUGCAUGCACUGGCCAGUAGAACAGAACCCAGGACGGACCGUAGCUGUUUUUUUUUUUUUGUUUGUUUGUUUGUUUGCUUCCUGUUGCCCUGGGAUACCAGUAAGCUGGCCGGAUUCACCAGGAUUUCUGAGGUCAGAGCAACUUCUGACUUCUACCAGAGUACGAGGGAGUCCAGGACAGAGUGAGGAAAAAGUAUGAAGGAAGAAAAAGGCAGAAGACAAGUUGGCUGACGAAGAGAAAAGGAAAAAGUAGGAAGAACUGAAAGUUGGAAAGAAAAUAACCAAGUUGGAUAUUUGUGAAGGAAAAGGAGUCGUACGUCGAGUUGCUUUAAAGAGCUGGUUGAAAAGACGGAGCAGAAAAGUGUUGAAAUGUUAAUUUAAGGAAUAAUCCGAGGGACCCAUCACCCCUGCACUUUACCCACAAUGCAUCCCUCUGUCGUGUACGUCCUCUCUGUAGUGGACAGAUCAGGGACUGGAGAUGCCACUGGCUUUAUUUAGGGGCCGACGUUAUGAGCCAAGAUGGCCUCCGGGGGUCCCCGCCCCGCCUCCACUGGUUGCUUUACACUGAGUUCACCUGCCACCACGGCCGAAGGACUGUGUCUAUAUAAUUCAGGUUAUUUGCACUGGCUGGGCAGAAUCACACGGGACUGGAUUUUAUUUGAGCUGGUUUCAAAUACUAACUGAGGAGCGCUUUAGUGAGUUACCCAGCAAAACUGACAAUACUCUACCAAACCAGGAGCCAAGUAUAUUUACACACUACCAGCCGCUGAUAUUACUAUUAAAAGGAUAUUUCACUGCCUGGUGGAAGGUUUUCACUCUUUAGCCAGCACACAUCAAAGGAGUUGUCGAUGGGAAGUGUAUUUGGCCGUCACAUACGAACAAAAUAAUGAGAUGCAACGUAAAAUGAGAGCUACUGAUCGCCAGGGCGGCUGUUACAAGCAGCUGACUCUGUAUGAACUUGAGGAAUUUGUGCUAAAAUGUAAAAAUGUUCUACCAAAGUGAAAUAUCUCCUCAGAGGUUUUGAAGGGAAGCUUGUUUUUUUCUCCACAUUUCGGUUGCUGAUUUUCAAGCACCUCAGACCAGACGUUUUGUCGUUUUAAUGCUUUUCCGUGCCAAGCUAUGGACACACAGUCAUCACAUACAUAACAUAUGUGCUGUCCAGAAUUUGGCACAGAAAAAUGCCGGUCUGAGCUGGUUGAAUCAGGAUCUCUUCCUCUCCUCAACAUCUCUUUCCUCUUCUUUCCUCCCAUCUCUAACUACAGCAUUUUUCAUCUCCAAUUUCUACCUCUACACUUCAGUUUCUUUCUUCCAUAAUUUCCUCUUUUCAUACAUUAUCUUGUACAUUGACAUCAGCGUUGUGGCCCUAAACGGCUGUAUAAUUUAAAAAAAAGAAAAAAAAACAAGCUAUAACUGAUUCCUUUCUUUUUUUAAAAUAAAAUGUUGCACAAACAAACUUCCCUGCACGGUGCAAACUACUGUAUGCAUACACACGUCUUUAACUAUCAUCUCAUUGUCUUUUUAUUUUGUGUCUUUUUUUUUAAGGAAAAACAAAUCUUGUUCACUCAUGUAAUAUAGAGAGAUCAGACCCACUUGUUUUAUAUAUGUUAAUUUUUUUCUGUAAAGCCUUAGUCCUCGUAUUUGAUUUUAUUUUUGUAGAUAUGAUUAAAAAAAAGGAUGUAUAAAUUAUUUUCUUCUCCCUUGUUUUUAAAAUUGGUGAGAUUGUUUAGCUGCACAGAAGGAAAAGAGAGCUCAUGUCUCAGAUUCAUGUGUUUUGUGAGAUUAAAAAGAAACUGGAUAAAGGAA